UACGGAGGAUCCGAGCGUUAUCCGGAUUUAUUGGGUUUAAAGGGUGCGCAGGCGGGAGAUUAAGUCGGCGGUGAAAUUUUGCAGCUCAACUGUAAAAGUGCCUUCGAAACUGGUUUCCUUGAGUGUAGAUGAAGUAGGCGGAAUUUGUGGUGUAGCGGUGAAAUGCUUAGAUAUCACGAGGAUCUCCGAUUGCGCAGGCAGCUUACUAAACUACUACUGACGCUCAGGCACGAAGGCGUGGGGAUCAAACAGGAUUAGAUACCCUGGUA
This 269-nucleotide ribosomal RNA is filed under the name uncultured prokaryote. RNAcentral's name for it is "partial 16S ribosomal RNA". It matches the Rfam family "Bacterial small subunit ribosomal RNA", at positions 524 to 792 of the family's 1533-position model. The record is from RNAcentral.